AAAUUGAAGAGUUUGAUCAUGGCUCAGAUUGAACGCUGGCGGCAGGCCUAACACAUGCAAGUCGAACGGUAACAGGGAUCAGCUUGCUGAUUCGCUGACGAGUGGCGGACGGGUGAGUAAUGUCUGGGAAACUGCCUGAUGGAGGGGGAUAACUACUGGAAACGGUAGCUAAUACCGCAUAACGUCGCAAGACCAAAGAGGGGGACCUUCGGGCCUCUUGCCAUCGGAUGUGCCCAGAUGGGAUUAGCUAGUAGGUGGGGUAACGGCUCACCUAGGCGACGAUCCCUAGCUGGUCUGAGAGGAUGACCAGCCACACUGGAACUGAGACACGGUCCAGACUCCUACGGGAGGCAGCAGUGGGGAAUAUUG
This 369-nucleotide ribosomal RNA is filed under the name Escherichia coli. RNAcentral's name for it is "bacterial SSU rRNA". It matches the Rfam family "Bacterial small subunit ribosomal RNA", at positions 1 to 366 of the family's 1533-position model. Lineage: Bacteria; Pseudomonadati; Pseudomonadota; Gammaproteobacteria; Enterobacterales; Enterobacteriaceae. The record is from RNAcentral.